AACGAACGCUGGCGGCGUGGAUAAGACAUGCAAGUCGAACGGGACUAAAUCUGUAGCAAUACAGGUUUAGUUCAGUGGCGAACGGGUGCGUAACACGUGGGGAAUCUGCCGAGAAGUGGGGGAUAGCUCGCCGAAAGGCGAAUUAAUACCGCAUAUGAUCAGCUAAGACAUCUUAGCGACAUCAAAGCCGGGGCAACCUGGCGCUUCUUGAUGACCCCGCGGCCUAUCAGCUAGUUGGUGAGGUAACGGCUCACCAAGGCUAUGACGGGUAGCUGGUCU
Molecule: ribosomal RNA, 279 nt
Filed under: uncultured bacterium
Lineage: Bacteria
Description: partial 16S ribosomal RNA
Rfam family: Bacterial small subunit ribosomal RNA
Source: RNAcentral